Molecule: long non-coding RNA, 490 nt
Organism: Quercus lobata
Lineage: Eukaryota; Viridiplantae; Streptophyta; Magnoliopsida; Fagales; Fagaceae
Exons: 5
Source: RefSeq, a predicted model, not a curated record
ACAAAACUUCAUCCUCACCGUCAAUUCUAAAUUCUCUCUUUAGCUCUCUAUCUUCUUUCUUCUUGUCUUUCUAAUAGUCUGAUACUUUUCUCCUUUUUCGUCUCUUUCUUCAUUUUGGUUAGCUCCAAGAAUGCCUAUAAAAUAGCUCUUCGAAAAUGCAUGAUUCAACUUUUAUUUCAGAAAAUCUAAUGCCAGCACCCACGCCUCUCUGCCUCCCAAAAAGACCGGAUUAGCAGGAUAUUGAUUUCGAGAUUAGAGAGGGUGUUGGUUUUAGGACAUAAAUUUUGGGAUUGGAGAAGCUUCUAAGUGGGUCAAGGGGAAGCAAUUGGAAGAAGUUGUGGCCAUUAAAAACAUAUAUGGGAUUGGUGGCAAAAAGAUAGCUUUUGUGGGACUAUUUGAACUCAAAUAAUUUUUUAUAAAGUUUGGAAGCUAAGAUAUCAUUUGUAUAUAAAUAGUUGUAAUUACUUUGUGAACAUCUUUAUUGCAUUUU